UGGGAAGUACGCAAAUAGGCAAAGCGGCUUGACUUUGAAUCAGGUGUUUGAGGGUUCGAUUCCUUCCUUCCCAG
Molecule: transfer RNA, 74 nt
Filed under: Leptolyngbyaceae cyanobacterium MO_188.B28
Lineage: Bacteria; Bacillati; Cyanobacteriota; Cyanophyceae; Leptolyngbyales; Leptolyngbyaceae
Also listed under: 1 other name
Description: tRNA-Gln
Rfam family: tRNA
About the family: Transfer RNA (tRNA) molecules are approximately 80 nucleotides in length. Their secondary structure includes four short double-helical elements and three loops (D, anti-codon, and T loops).
Source: RNAcentral